AAACCUGGCGGCCUCUUACUCAUGCAGUCGAACGAACCUCGGGUUAGUGGCGGACGGGUGAGUACAGAAUCUGCCCUCAGGAGGGGGACAACAGCUGGAAACGGCUGCUAAUACCCCAUAUGCCGCGAGGUGAAAUGAAUUUCGCCUGAGGAUGAGCUCGCGUCUGAUUAGCUAGUUGGUGUAAGUAAUGGCUCACCAAGGCAUCGAUCAGUAGCUGGUCUGAGAGGAUAUCAGCCACCGGGACUGAGACACGGACCGACUCCUACGGACGCAGCAGUGGGGAAUUUCCCAAGGGCGAAAGCCUGACGGACCACCCCGUAGGACUAAGGUCUGGGCUGUA
RNAcentral lists this ribosomal RNA (340 nucleotides) under uncultured bacterium. Its description in RNAcentral is "bacterial SSU rRNA". It matches the Rfam family "Bacterial small subunit ribosomal RNA", at positions 36 to 427 of the family's 1533-position model. The record is from RNAcentral.